GCGAGUCUGGCAACAGACCGGCACGGCAAACCCCACACGGAGCAAGGCCAAAUAGGGAAGGAGCUGCCGCAAGGCAGCAGGCGUGGCCCACGUCCCUUCCGGGUAGGCUGCUGGAACCCACCGGUGACGGUGGGUCUAGAGGAAUGGUUGUCCCGGCCGUCGUCGCGCAAGCGGCGGCGGUUAUGACAGAACCCGGCUUACAGGCCGGCUCCCACU
This 216-nucleotide RNase P RNA is filed under the name Nevskiaceae bacterium. RNAcentral describes it as "Sinobacteraceae bacterium partial RNase P RNA component class A". It matches the Rfam family "Bacterial RNase P class A", at positions 180 to 367 of the family's 367-position model. Rfam says of the family: Ribonuclease P (RNase P) is a ubiquitous endoribonuclease, found in archaea, bacteria and eukarya as well as chloroplasts and mitochondria. Its best characterised activity is the generation of mature 5'-ends of tRNAs by cleaving the 5'-leader elements of precursor-tRNAs. Cellular RNase Ps are ribonucleoproteins. Lineage: Bacteria; Pseudomonadati; Pseudomonadota; Gammaproteobacteria; Nevskiales; Nevskiaceae. The record is from RNAcentral.